AGCGUUAUCCGGAAUCAUUGGGCGUAAAGGGUGCGUAGGUGGCGUACUAAGUCUGUAGUAAAAGGCAAUGGCUCAACCAUUGUAAGCUAUGGAAACUGGUAUGCUGGAGUGCAGAAGAGGGCGAUGGAAUUCCAUGUGUAGCGGUAAAAUGCGUAGAUAUAUGGAGGAACACCAGUGGCGAAGGCGGUCGCCUGGUCUGUAACUGACACUGAGGCACGAAAGCGUGGGGAGCAAAUAGGAUUAGAUACCCUAGUAGUCCACGCCGUAAACGAUGAGAACUAAGUGUUGGAGAAAUUCAGUGCUGCAGUUAACGCAAUAAGUUCUCCGCCUGGGGAGUAUGCACGCAAGUGUGAAACUCAAAGGAAUUGACGGGGGCCCGCACAAGCGGUGGAGUAUGUGGUUUAAUUCGAAGCAACGCGAAGAACCUUACCAGGCCUUGACAUGGAAACAAAUACCCUAGAGAUAGGGGGAUAAUUAUGGAUCACACAGGUGGUGCAUGGUUGUCGUCAGCUCGUGUCGUGAGAUGUUGGGUUAAGUCCCGCAACGAGCGCAACCCUUGUCGCAUGUUACCAGCAUCAAGUUGGGGACUCAUGCGAGACUGCCGGUGACAAACCGGAGGAAGGUGGGGAUGACGUCAAAUCAUCAUGCCCCUUAUGGCCUGGGCUACACACGUACUACAAUGGCGACCACAAAGAGCAGCGACUUGGUGACAAGAAGCGAAUCUCAUAAAGGUCGUCUCAGUUCGGAUUGAAGUCUGCAACUCGACUUCAUGAAGUCGGAAUCGCUAGUAAUCGCAGAUCAGCAUGCUGCGGUGAAUACGUUCUCGGGCCUU
This 832-nucleotide ribosomal RNA is filed under the name [Clostridium] innocuum. RNAcentral's name for it is "bacterial SSU rRNA". It matches the Rfam family "Bacterial small subunit ribosomal RNA", at positions 537 to 1382 of the family's 1533-position model. Lineage: Bacteria; Bacillati; Bacillota; Clostridia; Eubacteriales; Clostridiaceae. The record is from RNAcentral.